AACAGAUAUGCAAAUAACAGCUGAUAUUGUUUGUUAACUUAUAGAGUGAUAAGCCUGGAAGUAAACGUUGUACAUCAUCUUUACCACAGAUAUGUAGAUUGGACUACUCAGGGCUGCGGAAAAUUGUGAAGAAGAUGAUGCUCGAAAGUGAUGUGAAGAAACCACACCAGUAUCUUGCCUUGAAUUCUCCUUUUGACCACCUUGUGAAUUCCAAGACUGCAUGCUGUUAUAUAGUAACAGACUGCACGUAAAACUCUGGUGCUGAUUUGGCAAAUGGCAACAGAGGGAAUUUGCCAAAUAUUGGUUCAUAGUCUGAAGCUCUACUAGUCUACACCUGUAGUGGUGAGUGUUUUCAUCACUGAACUACUAUAUUAAACAGUCCCCAC
Molecule: long non-coding RNA, 386 nt
Filed under: Chinchilla lanigera (long-tailed chinchilla)
Lineage: Eukaryota; Metazoa; Chordata; Mammalia; Rodentia; Chinchillidae
Description: lncRNA (ENSCLAG00000023345.1)
Source: RNAcentral